Long non-coding RNA from Homo sapiens (human), 918 nucleotides. RefSeq lists it as uncharacterized. The record is from RefSeq and is a predicted model, not a curated record. The transcript has 4 exons. NCBI's taxonomy places the organism in Eukaryota, Metazoa, Chordata, Mammalia, Primates, Hominidae.
GCCCCUUCCUGAUACAUAGAGGGGGGAAAUACCACCCUGAUAGAACUAGAAAUGGGAAGUGUUGAGGAUUCUGCUGUGUCUCAGGCAUGGAAUUUAGAUCCUGGGGGCGGGAUGUAGCAGAGAGAGAUUCUUCAAGAAAAGACAAGCUGCACAGCUGCAAGGAGUGAAUUGUGAGACUGACAACUUCCAGAAGUCACUCUUUUCCGGGAGCAGGAGCUAGCCAAUGACUGAACAGUGAUUCACAGGGCCGGCUAUUUCCACCCAAUGUGUACUCCUCUGGAGAGCAGUCAUGGCUCCUGACCUCCCUGUUGGGCUCCAUCAGAUGGCAUCGCAAUCUGAUGAUUUCCCCACCCAUUUCUGCGUUCUUCACUCUUGCACUCCUACUCAGUCUCUAUAUUUGCUUCUCAGAGAACCCAAUGAUCACAGGCAAGCCACAUGGACUUCCUCAUAGGGAAGCUUACAAUAUGGCACCUCACUUUCAUUAUGGAGAGCAAGCAAGAGAGUAAGAGAAGAUAUAAUAACCUAUUUCUGAAGUAAUACGGAUAAUUCUGUGACAAAUCCACUUCAGCCUUGGUAAUGCCCUUCGUUUUGACUUCAAAACAUUCACUGGCUCUCAUGGAUUUGUACUAUUUAACACCCAGAUAAAGGUCACGGACUUGGGAAAUGACCUAAGCAGGAGCUGAAUUCCAUCCCUGGUCUGUUUGGCUCCCAAGCCAUGCUCUUAACCUCUAUAUUCUAGUACUUCCGGAGAAAAGUCAUGAGAAUGAGCAGGGCAUAUGUGAAGAUAGCCUGACUGAAGAAGAAGAGUUCAUGUUGAGUGUGGAGGAAAACAAAGGUCAACAGGCAGAUUGGGACCAAGUUAGAGAGUGCCUGGAAACUCACGAAAAAUUAGAUUUGAUGUAAUAAGAAAUGAGACUU